This is a long non-coding RNA of Dermacentor silvarum, 1319 nucleotides long. RefSeq lists it as uncharacterized. NCBI's taxonomy places the organism in Eukaryota, Metazoa, Arthropoda, Arachnida, Ixodida, Ixodidae. The record is from RefSeq and is a predicted model, not a curated record. The transcript has 5 exons.
GGUGACGGCUGCUUGCGACUAGAAUGGGACUGUGGAGCAGUGCCACGGUGCAGUGUAGGAGGGGCUCAUGAGCAGGAUCUGUUGCUGGCUAAUUCCUGGUUGGCCCCUCUCUCGUCGAGGUCUCCUAUGCUGCUUGUCUGCGUCGCCAGGGCGCAGCUGGAGAUGCAUCUGCACUCGUGCAUGUCCAGUGGCACUCAAUGGUGUCUGGUGACGGCUGCUUGCGACUAGAAUGGGACUGCGGAGCAGUGCCGCGGUGCAGUGUAGGAGGGGCUCAGGAGUGGGAUCUGUUGCCGGCUAAUUCCUGGUUGGCCCUUCUCUCGUCGAGGUCUCCUAUGCUGCUUGUCCACGUCGCCAGGGCGCAGCUGGAGAUGCAUCUGCACUCGUGCAUGUCCAGUGGCACUCGACGGUGUGUGGUGACGGCUGCUUGCGACUAGAAUGGGACUGCGGAGCAGUGCUACGGUGCAGUGUAGGAGGGGCUCAGGAGCAGGAUCUGUUGCCGGCUAAUUCCUGGUUGGCCCCACUCUGGUCGAGGUCUCCUAUGCUGCUUGUCCACGUCGCCAGGGCACAGCUGGAGGUACAUCUGCUCUCGUGCAUGUCCAGUGGCACUCGACAGUGUCUGGUGACGGCUGCUUGCGACUAGAAUGGGACUGUGGAGCAGUGCCACGGUGCAGUGUAGCUGGGGCUCAGAAGCAGGAUCUGUUGCCGGCCAUCUCCUGGUUGGCCCCACUCUGGUUGAGGUCUCCUAUGCUGCUUGUCCAUGUCCCCAGGGCACCGCUGGAGAUGUGUCUGCACUGGUGCAUGUCCAGUGGCACUCGACGAUGUCUGGUGAUGGCUGCUUGCGACUAGAAUGGGACUGUGGACCAGUGCCACGGUGCAGUGUAGCUGGGGCUCAGAAGCAGGAUCUGUUGCCGGCCAUCUCCUGGUUGGCCCCACUCUGGUUGAGGUCUCCUAUGCUGCUUGUCCACGUCGCCAGGGCACAGCUGGAGGUACAUCUGCUCUCGUGCAUGUCCAGUGGCACUCGACAGUGUCUGGUGAUGGCUGCUUGCGACUAGAAUAGGACUGUGGAGCAGUGCCACGGUGCAGUGUAGCUGGGGCUCAGAAGCAGGAUCUGUUGCCGGCCAUCUCCUGGUUGGCCCCACUCUGGUCGAGGUCUCCUAUGCUGCUUGUCCAUGUCCCCAGGGCACAGCUGGAGAUGCGUCUGCACUGGUGUAUGUCCAGUGGCACUCGACGGUAUCUGGUGAUGGCUGCUUGCGACUAGAAUGGGACUGUGGAGCAGUGCCACGGUGCAGUGUAGCUGGGGCUCAGAAGCAGGAUCUGUU